UGGCAGCUCUGCGUUUAGUGCAAUUUCUAAUUAUUUGAGGGGCUAAGACAAAAAUAUUUAACUUGUGACUGAAGUCCAAUGAAUCUGGAUGGUCAAGGUGACGGCUAUAAGUUGAAAGAAAGUAUUUUGUGACAACGGGCAAAAUUUGAUUUCAGCCUCGCACUUUUCUCGGUCAAGAGAUCCUUUUCGAAAAGAAAUAUUAAAAAUAGUAUCAUCACGUGCAAAUUCUGACCGCACGUGUGACAGAUUCUAGUCUUUGAAAUUUCAACUUGACCAUUACUAAAGAGUUAUUUUUUAGGUUUACCCACAAAUAAAAUUUCAUUAUUUCAAAUUCGAUAUUUUAAAAAAAUGAAA
This 354-nucleotide long non-coding RNA is filed under the name Brassica napus (rape). RNAcentral describes it as "long non-coding RNA (BNAP_LNC009907)". Lineage: Eukaryota; Viridiplantae; Streptophyta; Magnoliopsida; Brassicales; Brassicaceae. The record is from RNAcentral.